UAAGUUUUGAUCUUGAUUCACUCUGUUGUGUGAAAAGUAAUGGGCAGAAUUUCCCUGGGCCUCUGGUAAUGAGCUAGGAGGUGUGGAGUUGGGGGGAAAGCUGGUACAAAAACAAAGAAAGAGAAAAGAAAGCCUUCCAGGAUAAUCGAAUGAUCAAUUCUCAACUAGUGACUGAAAGAUUGAACUUUGGUGAAAACAUCCUCAUGCUGUCAACAAAGGACUGAAAAGAUGCUGCCAGACCUGCUGACCUUUUCCAGCAACCUCUGUUGUUGUGCCAGUUAAUAAAUUUGAUUUGAAGACAAAUGAGAGGUUUCCCAUUAAAAUCAGUUACCCUCAAAUGAAAUUGGGUAACAUUAAAGUUUAUUUCCUUGUUCCUGACUUGGUUAUUUACUAUUUUUACUAUUUGGUUUGUAUAAAAUAGAAUCUGUCCUUAAGUCAGAUAUUCCAUUGGUAGUGUAUUAGUAUUUUCCUAUUAUACUUUAUGAAUGAUAUUUGAUCAGCCAGUACUGCAUUUACCCUUUCAUGUAUUUGAUUUUUGCUUCACUAUAUCAGAUUUGGAAGAACUGAAGAUUUUCAUUGUGUAGUUUGUGUACACUUUGUCAUUUUUCAAAGAAUAUGAAACAAAUGAUAUUUUAAAUUAAAUUAUACUAUGUAACUCAAAUUCAUAAUAAUGGAAAGGAAUAUAACCUGUCUUUCUAUGGGCAUUCUUGAUAUUAAUUGUUCUAUUUUUGGUCUAUCAAGAGAAAUGAAUGCUCAGUUGAUUUCAAAAAUUAUACUACAAACACAUUGGUUGCAAACUAUUUUAAUUCACUGCUUUUUUGUUUGUAUAUGGGGUCUAUAUGUGGAGUUUUCCAUUAUGCACUCUUAACUUCAGUGGCAUACAUGGAAGCGAGUGUCAUGUCUGCUUAUGGCAGGCCAGCCUUUUUCAUGCAAUAACAUGGUUCUCAGUUCAUUACGUACACACAAAUGAGAAGCAUGGCAAAACCUAUUACAAGGUAGACAGGAAAUUGACACUCCCAGCAUUACCUUCAGGGGUUGAAGGUCGUGGCAUCAUAUUUAAAUUGCCUCCAGGAAGGCAUUCAUUCCCUGUAAAAAAACAUUUCUUAGUCUCACAGACAAACACAGAAAUUGAUGAAGAAACUCAGGCAACACCUGUGGAGACAGAAAGAGUGUUACUGCUUCAAGUCUGGCAUGACUCUUCUUUAGUUCUGAAGAAGACUUGAAAGAGCAACUCUAUUUCUGUCUCCACUGAUGCUGCCAGUUUCUACAGUG
Molecule: non-coding RNA, 1272 nt
Organism: Chiloscyllium plagiosum (whitespotted bambooshark)
Lineage: Eukaryota; Metazoa; Chordata; Chondrichthyes; Orectolobiformes; Hemiscylliidae
Source: RefSeq, a predicted model, not a curated record